Daktulosphaira vitifoliae (grape phylloxera) is the source of this 1103-nucleotide long non-coding RNA. RefSeq lists it as uncharacterized. The transcript is spliced from 3 exons. The record is from RefSeq and is a predicted model, not a curated record. NCBI's taxonomy places the organism in Eukaryota, Metazoa, Arthropoda, Insecta, Hemiptera, Phylloxeridae.
UAAAAAGAUUUAGUAUCAUGUUUCUCCUUGUUUACCAGAUAGUUGUUUUUUUUUUGUUGUAAGUCACACGGAUGACGUUUUCUAUUAUUUUAUUUAAAUUGCACGGAUUAUGUUAGAUACUUUCAAUUGCGAAUCAUUAGAUUAAAAUAUUUACCUAUGAACAUUGGUAUAUAAUAAUUGUACACAAAAAUCUGAUUGGUAUAUUUCAGAAGCCAAAAUAGAGAUUCCUAUAUAACUACUAUGCUACUCUAGGUACUCGUGGCAUCAUUGAUUUAAAAGAAUAUGAUAAGAAAUUUCAACUAUUUGGCUCACAGAGUAAUACUCUAUUAGAGUAUUAUUCUAUGAUUUGGCCGCCCCAAGUAGUUGGGAUUAAGGCAAGGACAAAGAAGAAAGAUGAUAAGAAGUUACAAUAUUUUUUAUAUAAGAAAAUUUAUUACGACUAGUAAAGUGUUUUAUUUAAAAUAAUGACUUAUGUUCGGUAAAAACGAGGUCAGUUUUAAUAUUCGGGGUGGUCUCCGUGUAUUAAUAGAGAAUUCAGAUUUACUCAUACAUGCAACGUUUAUCCGACUUAACUAUAUUAAUAUGUUUUACACAAAUAAUAAUAAUUAUUUUUGAAUCGUUUCUAUAAUAAUACGAUUCCUAUUAUUUAUGAGUUCUAGAGAGAUACCAGUCGCACGCGUAUGUGUUAAACCGGUUGUAUUGCGGAAUACAACUUCAGAUAUCCUCGUGUACUUUUUUGAAUAAACACUUGUUGUCGUAUUUCAACGCAAGAAGAUAAUAAAACAUUAGUGGGAUGUGCCGGAUUACGUAGAACCAUUGACCGGAUAUUGUAAUAGGCACUUGUAUUGUACGAAAAGGAUACUUGCGGUUAGACCAAAAGAAAGCGAACCGACGUGAUGGUUUUAGUAAUCACGACUACUAAAAAUACUCACCUUUGAUCAUAUUAAACAUUUAUAUUUACCGCUGUUACAAUGCUCAAUAUUAUAAAUAAUGUAUUGAAAAUAGGAGUACAUCACGCGAUUAAACUAUACUCAAUGAAAAUUCAUUCGAUACAUAAAAAUGAUUUGCCAGUUAUAAGUUGUAACAUUUAAUUGCACUUUGUU